CCGGUUGAUCCUGCCAGACCUGACUGCUAUCGGAUUGAUACUAAGCCAUGCGAGUCAUUGUAGCAAUACAAGGCAUACGGCUCAGUAACGCGUAGUCAACCUAACCUAUGGACGGGAAUAACCUCGGGAAACUGAGAAUAAUUCCCGAUAGAACAUUAUACCUGGAAUGGUUUAUGUUUCAAAUGAUUUAUCGCCGUAGGAUGGGACUGCGGCCUAUCAGUUUGUUGGUGAGGUAAUGGCCCACCAAGACUAUUACAGGUACGGGCUCUGAGAGGAGUAGCCCGGAGAUGGGUACUGAGACACGGACCCAGGCCCUAUGGGGCGCAGCAGGCGAGAAAACUUUGCAAUGUGCGAAAGCACGACAAGGUUAAUCCGAGUGAUUUGUGCUAAACGAAUCUUUUGUUAGUCCUAGAAACACUAACGAAUAAGGGGUGGGCAAGUUCUGGUGUCAGCCGCCGCGGUAAAACCAGCACCUCAAGUGGUCAGGAUGAUUAUUGGGCCUAAAGCAUCCGUAGCCGGCUCUGUAAGUUUUCGGUUAAAUCUGUACGCUCAACGUACAGGCUGCCGGGAAUACUGCAAAGCUAGGGAGUGGGAGAAGUAGACGGUACUCGGUAGGAAGUGGUAAAAUGCUUUGAUCUAUCGAUGACCACCUGUGGCGAAGGCGGUCUACUAGAACACGUCCGACGGUGAGGGAUGAAAGCUGGGGGAGCAAACCGGAUUAGAUACCCGGGUAGUCCCAGCUGUAAACUAUGCAAACUCAGUGAUGCAUUGGCUUGUGGCCAAUGCAGUGCUGCAGGGAAGCCGUUAAGUUUGCCGCCUGGGAAGUACGUACGCAAGUAUGAAACUUAAAGGAAUUGGCGGGGGAGCACCACAAGGGGUGAAGCCUGCGGUUCAAUUGGAUUCAACGCCGGG
Molecule: ribosomal RNA, 912 nt
Filed under: uncultured archaeon
Lineage: Archaea
Description: bacterial SSU rRNA
Rfam family: Archaeal small subunit ribosomal RNA
Source: RNAcentral